RNAcentral lists this transfer RNA (73 nucleotides) under Papilio machaon (common yellow swallowtail). It matches the Rfam family "tRNA". From Rfam's summary of the family: Transfer RNA (tRNA) molecules are approximately 80 nucleotides in length. Their secondary structure includes four short double-helical elements and three loops (D, anti-codon, and T loops). Further hydrogen bonds mediate the characteristic L-shaped molecular structure. tRNAs have two regions of fundamental functional importance: the anti-codon, which is responsible for specific mRNA codon recognition, and the 3' end, to which the tRNAs corresponding amino acid is attached (by aminoacyl-tRNA synthetases). tRNAs cope with the degeneracy of the genetic code in two manners: having more than one tRNA (with a specific anti-codon) for a particular amino acid; and 'wobble' base-pairing, i.e. permitting non-standard base-pairing at the 3rd anti-codon position. Lineage: Eukaryota; Metazoa; Arthropoda; Insecta; Lepidoptera; Papilionidae. The record is from Rfam by way of RNAcentral.
GCCUCCAUAGCUCAGUGGUUAAGUUUCUGGUCUUGUAAACCAAAAGUCGAGACAUUUAAUUUCUCUGAGGGCG